Molecule: ribosomal RNA, 274 nt
Filed under: uncultured bacterium
Lineage: Bacteria
Description: partial 16S ribosomal RNA
Rfam family: Bacterial small subunit ribosomal RNA
Source: RNAcentral
CUACGGAGGGUGCGAGCGUUGUUCGGAAUUAUUGGGCGUAAAGAGCAUGUAGGCGGUCUGUUAAGUCUGGUGUGAAAGCCCGGGGCUCAACCCCGGAAGUGCAUUGGAUACUGGCAGACUUGAGUAUGGGAGAGGAAAGCGGAAUUCCGAGUGUAGGAGUGAAAUCCGUAGAUAUGCGGAGGAACACCAGUGGCGAAGGCGGCUUUCUGGACCAAUUCUGACGCUGAGAUGCGAAAGCGUGGGGAGCGAACAGGAUUAGAUACCCUAGUAGUCC